Molecule: ribosomal RNA, 371 nt
Filed under: uncultured bacterium
Lineage: Bacteria
Description: bacterial SSU rRNA
Rfam family: Bacterial small subunit ribosomal RNA
Source: RNAcentral
GUAGGUGGCGAGCGUUGUCCGGAUUUACUGGGCGUAAAGGGCUUGUAGGCGGUUCGCUAAGUAUGGUGUGAAAUCUCCCGGCUCAACUGGGAGGGGUCACUGGAUACUGGCGGACUAGAGGGGGGUAGAGGAGAGCAGAAUUCCUGGUGUAGCGGUGAAAUGCGUAGAUAUCAGGAGGAAUACCAGUGGCGAAGGCGGCUCUCUGGGCCUACCCUGACGCUGAGGAGCGAAAGCGUGGGGAGCAAACCGGAUUAGAUACCCGGGUAGUCCACGCCCUAAACGGUGGAUGCUAGGUGUGGGGGGUGUCGACCCCCUCCGUGCCGCAGCUAACGCUUUAAGCAUCCCGCCUGGGGAGUACGGCCGCAAGGCUA